RNAcentral lists this ribosomal RNA (401 nucleotides) under Brucella melitensis. RNAcentral's name for it is "partial 16S ribosomal RNA". It matches the Rfam family "Bacterial small subunit ribosomal RNA", at positions 355 to 773 of the family's 1533-position model. RNAcentral also lists the same sequence under 2 other names. Lineage: Bacteria; Pseudomonadati; Pseudomonadota; Alphaproteobacteria; Hyphomicrobiales; Brucellaceae. The record is from RNAcentral.
UGGGGAAUAUUGGACAAUGGGCGCAAGCCUGAUCCAGCCAUGCCGCGUGAGUGAUGAAGGCCCUAGGGUUGUAAAGCUCUUUCACCGGUGAAGAUAAUGACGGUAACCGGAGAAGAAGCCCCGGCUAACUUCGUGCCAGCAGCCGCGGUAAUACGAAGGGGGCUAGCGUUGUUCGGAUUUACUGGGCGUAAAGCGCACGUAGGCGGACUUUUAAGUCAGGGGUGAAAUCCCGGGGCUCAACCCCGGAACUGCCUUUGAUACUGGAAGUCUUGAGUAUGGUAGAGGUGAGUGGAAUUCCGAGUGUAGAGGUGAAAUUCGUAGAUAUUCGGAGGAACACCAGUGGCGAAGGCGGCUCACUGGACCAUUACUGACGCUGAGGUGCGAAAGCGUGGGGAGCAAAC